Molecule: ribosomal RNA, 563 nt
Filed under: Pseudomonas sp.
Lineage: Bacteria; Pseudomonadati; Pseudomonadota; Gammaproteobacteria; Pseudomonadales; Pseudomonadaceae
Description: bacterial SSU rRNA
Rfam family: Bacterial small subunit ribosomal RNA
Source: RNAcentral
AGCGGCGGACGGGUGAGUAAUGCCUAGGAAUCUGCCUGGUAGUGGGGGACAACGUUUCGAAAGGAACGCUAAUACCGCAUACGUCCUACGGGAGAAAGCGGGGGACCUUCGGGCCUUGCGCUAUCAGAUGAGCCUAGGUCGGAUUAGCUUGUUGGUGAGGUAAUGGCUCACCAAGGCGACGAUCCGUAACUGGUCUGAGAGGAUGAUCAGUCACACUGGAACUGAGACACGGUCCAGACUCCUACGGGAGGCAGCAGUGGGGAAUAUUGGACAAUGGGCGAAAGCCUGAUCCAGCCAUGCCGCGUGUGUGAAGAAGGUCUUCGGAUUGUAAAGCACUUUAAGUUGGGAGGAAGGGCUCUCAGCGAAUACCUGGGUGUCUUGACGUUACCGACAGAAUAAGCACCGGCUAACUCUGUGCCAGCAGCCGCGGUAAUACAAAGGGUGCAAGCGUUAAUCGGAAUUACUGGGCGUAAAGCGCGCGUAGGUGGCUUGUUAAGUUGGAUGUGAAAUCCCCGGGCUCAACCUGGGAACUGCAUCCAAAACUGGCUGGCUAGAGUGUGGUA